CCUACGGGAGGCAGCAGUGAGGAAUAUUGGACAAUGGGUGAGAGCCUGAUCCAGCCAUCCCGCGUGAAGGACGACGGCCCUAUGGGUUGUAAACUUCUUUUGUACAGGGAUAAACCUUUCCACGUGUGGAAAGCUGAAGGUACUGUACGAAUAAGCACCGGCUAACUCCGUGCCAGCAGCCGCGGUAAU
This 189-nucleotide ribosomal RNA is filed under the name uncultured bacterium. Its description in RNAcentral is "partial 16S ribosomal RNA". It matches the Rfam family "Bacterial small subunit ribosomal RNA", at positions 338 to 524 of the family's 1533-position model. The record is from RNAcentral.